This 253-nucleotide ribosomal RNA is filed under the name uncultured bacterium. Its description in RNAcentral is "partial 16S ribosomal RNA". It matches the Rfam family "Bacterial small subunit ribosomal RNA", at positions 524 to 776 of the family's 1533-position model. The record is from RNAcentral.
GACGUAGGGGGCAAGCGUUGUCCGGAUUUACUGGGCGUAAAGCGCGCGUAGGCGGCUUGUUAAGUGUAGAGUGAAAGCUCCGGGCUCAACUCGGAAAUUGCUCUGCAUACUGGCAGACUAGAGUGCGGUAGAGGAUGGUGGAAUUCCCGGUGUAGCGGUGAAAUGCGUAGAUAUCGGGAGGAACAUCAGUGGCGAAGGCGGCGACCUGGGCCAAUACUGACGCUGAGGUGCGAAAGCGUGGGGAGCAAACAGG